RNAcentral lists this ribosomal RNA (297 nucleotides) under uncultured microorganism. RNAcentral's name for it is "partial 16S ribosomal RNA". It matches the Rfam family "Bacterial small subunit ribosomal RNA", at positions 505 to 796 of the family's 1533-position model. The record is from RNAcentral.
GUGCCACCAGCCGCGGUAAUACGUAGGUGGCAAGCGUUAUCCGGAAUUAUUGGGCGUAAAGCGCGCGCAGGUGGUUUCUUAAGUCUGAUGUGAAAGCCCACGGCUCAACCGUGGAGGGUCAUUGGAAACUGGGAGACUUGAGUGCAGAAGAGGAAAGUGGAAUUCCAUGUGUAGCGGUGAAAUGCGUAGAGAUAUGGAGGAACACCAGUGGCGAAGGCUUUUUUUUCGUUUGUAACCAACCCCUGUGGCCCCGACAGCGGGGGGGCCCCAACCAGGGUUUAGAUCCCGUGGUAGUCC